Molecule: ribosomal RNA, 519 nt
Filed under: uncultured Glomus
Lineage: Eukaryota; Fungi; Glomeromycota; Glomeromycetes; Glomerales; Glomeraceae
Description: SSU rRNA
Rfam family: Eukaryotic small subunit ribosomal RNA
Source: RNAcentral
AGCAGCCGCGGUAAUUCCAGCUCCAAUAGCGUAUAUUAAAGUUGUUGCAGUUAAAAAGCUCGUAGUUGAAUUUCGGGAUCAGUACGCUGGUCGUGCCUUUGGUAUGUACUGGUGUCACUGAUUCCUCCCUUCUGAAGAACCGUUAUGCCAUUUAUUUGGUGUGGCGGGGAAUCAGGACUGUUACUUUGAAAAAAUUAGAGUGUUUAAAGCAGGCUCGCGCUUGAAUACAUUAGCAUGGAAUAAUGAAAUAGGACGUUUGAUCUUAUUUUGUUGGUUUCUAGGAUCGACGUAAUGAUUAAUAGGGAUAGUUGGGGGCAUUAGUAUUCAAUUGUCAGAGGUGAAAUUCUUGGAUUUAUUGAAGACUAACUACUGCGAAAGCAUUUGCCAAGGAUGUUUUCAUUAAUCAAGAACGAAAGUUAGGGGAUCGAAGACGAUCAGAUACCGUCGUAGUCUUAACCAUAAACUAUGCCGACUAGGGAUCGGAUGAUGUUAUUUUUAAUGACUCAUUCGGCGUACCCG